AUUGAACGCUGGCGGCAUGCCUAACACAUGCAAGUCGAGCGACCGGCGGACGGGUGAUUAAUGUAUGGGGAUCUGCCCGAUAGAGGGGGAUAACUACUGGCACCGGUUGCUACUACCGCAUACUGUUGUUUCAACCCAUAUUGGAUUAGCUAGUAGGUGGGGUAAAGGCUCACCUAGGCGACGAUCUCUAGCUGGUCUGAGAGGAUGAUCAGCCACACUGGAACUGAGACACGGCCCAGACUCCUACGGGAGGCAGCAGUGGGGAAUAUUGCACAAUGGGCGCAAGCCUGAUGCAGCCAUGCCGCGUGUAUGAAGAAGGCCUUAGGGUUGUAAAGUACGUUCAGCGGGGAGGCGUUACCUGAAGAAGAAGCACCGGCUAACUCCGUGCCAGCAGCCGCGGUAAUUA
This 406-nucleotide ribosomal RNA is filed under the name uncultured bacterium. Its description in RNAcentral is "partial 16S ribosomal RNA". It matches the Rfam family "Bacterial small subunit ribosomal RNA", at positions 30 to 525 of the family's 1533-position model. The record is from RNAcentral.